GGGCCUGUAGCUCAAGGGUAGAGCACCCGGCUCAUAACCGGCUGAUCCAGGUUCGAGCCCUGGCGGGCCCACCA
RNAcentral lists this transfer RNA (74 nucleotides) under Candidatus Segetimicrobium genomatis. RNAcentral describes it as "Terrabacteria group bacterium ANGP1 tRNA-Met". It matches the Rfam family "tRNA". From Rfam's summary of the family: Transfer RNA (tRNA) molecules are approximately 80 nucleotides in length. Their secondary structure includes four short double-helical elements and three loops (D, anti-codon, and T loops). The record is from RNAcentral. Lineage: Bacteria; Bacillati; Candidatus Sysuimicrobiota; Candidatus Sysuimicrobiia; Candidatus Sysuimicrobiales; Candidatus Segetimicrobiaceae. RNAcentral also lists the same sequence under 1 other name.